GAGAUUGAAGAUGUCUGGUGUGGAUGAAGAGGAGGGCAGAUCAGGUGUGGACAGAUGCAUAUUUCAGUUAUCAGAGUGGACUCAGAAACCGAACGCUGCAGGACCUGCUGCAAGCAGUUUCACCUCCACUGUGCCUAAAGUUCAAACCUGAAAGUGUUCAAGUUGCAGAACCACAUAGAAUCACAUAAAAAAGGUGGCAUUUCAUUUAAAGGCAAACAAGCGAACUCUGUGAAAAUGGCGGCGUGUCAUGCUCAUGGAACACUUUGAUCUUGGAAGGUGAGGUGCCACCAGUUUUUCGCCUGAAGGGAAAAUUGGAUGACAUGACAGAGUACAGCCUUUUAAGGCUGAAGAGAGGAAGAAAAGUUGUCGUCAAACAGCUGCUCCAGUUGUGCAGGGGAUGCAGACAACUGAAGAAGAGGUGGGCCUGAC
This is a long non-coding RNA of Salarias fasciatus (jewelled blenny), 429 nucleotides long. RefSeq lists it as uncharacterized. Lineage: Eukaryota; Metazoa; Chordata; Actinopteri; Blenniiformes; Blenniidae. The record is from RefSeq and is a predicted model, not a curated record. The transcript is spliced from 5 exons.